Molecule: transfer RNA, 90 nt
Filed under: Planctomycetota bacterium
Lineage: Bacteria; Pseudomonadati; Planctomycetota
Description: tRNA-Ser
Rfam family: tRNA
About the family: Transfer RNA (tRNA) molecules are approximately 80 nucleotides in length. Their secondary structure includes four short double-helical elements and three loops (D, anti-codon, and T loops).
Source: RNAcentral
GGAGAGAUGGCUGAGUGGCCGAAAGCGGCGGCUUGCUAAGCCGUUGUAGUACUAUAAGUGCUACCUUGGGUUCGAAUCCCAAUCUCUCCG